UCAGCAUACUGCCGUGAAUACGUUCCCGGGCCUUGUACACACCGCCCGUCACACCAUGAGAGUUGGGGAUACCCGAAGCCUGUGAGCCAACAGUUAAAUGGGGCAGCAGUCGAAGGUAGAAUCAAUGAUUGGGGUGAAGUCGUAACAAGGUAAC
Molecule: ribosomal RNA, 154 nt
Filed under: uncultured bacterium
Lineage: Bacteria
Description: partial 16S ribosomal RNA
Rfam family: Bacterial small subunit ribosomal RNA
Source: RNAcentral